CUCCCGGAUAAUUUCCUGGUUGCUAAGUCUCGAAGAACGACUGAACAGACCAUUCCUUUGUGCGUCGCCGACGGAGACAGACGUGCAGCUCACAGCGCAGUUUUUUAACGCAUCACACCCUCUCACCAGUCAAAUUGACACCCGCCGACAGGACGAGCAAGCAGAACGGUAUCGCAAUCUACUGCCUGCACAACAGUCUCUCACCAUCAACUAACGUCAAAAGGCGCGAACGCGCGGCACACCGACCAUUUUUCUCACCCACCUCCUGCAUCGUGGUCCCACCUCCCGCCACUGGCCGCGCGGAUGUACGCUGGGCGGCCUACCCACUACGGCGCUCUACCUACUACUCGUCUCCAGCUACUCGCCG
Long non-coding RNA from Thrips palmi, 367 nucleotides. RefSeq lists it as uncharacterized. The record is from RefSeq and is a predicted model, not a curated record. NCBI's taxonomy places the organism in Eukaryota, Metazoa, Arthropoda, Insecta, Thysanoptera, Thripidae. The transcript is spliced from 4 exons.